RNAcentral lists this non-coding RNA (46 nucleotides) under Trichobilharzia regenti. The record is from RNAcentral. Lineage: Eukaryota; Metazoa; Platyhelminthes; Trematoda; Strigeidida; Schistosomatidae.
AUCUAGUCGACGAGUCCCAAAUAGGGCGAAAUGCGCAUCCUGGCAU